GAGUUUGAUCUUGGCUCAGGAUAAACGCUGGCGGCGUGCAUGAGACAUGCAAGUCGAACGGACGAUCGAGGCUUGCCUUGAUCGUUAGUGGCGGACGGCUGAGUAACGCGUAGGUGACCUGCCCCGAAGUGGGGAAUAACUGCCCGAAAGGGUGGCUAAUACCGCAUGUGGUGGUGUGUUCAUUCACACCAGUAAAGCCGCAAGGCGCUUCGGGAGGGGCCUGCGUCCGAUUAGCUCGUUGGUGGGGUAACGGCUCACCAAGGCGACGAUCGGUAGGUGGUCUGAGAGGACGAUCACCCAGACUGGGACUGAGACACGGCCCAGACUCCUACGGGAGGCAGCAGUCGGGAAUUUUGCGCAAUGGACGAAAGUCUGACGCAGCAACGGGCCGCGUGAGGGAUGAAGGCCUUCGGGUUGU
This 418-nucleotide ribosomal RNA is filed under the name uncultured bacterium. RNAcentral describes it as "bacterial SSU rRNA". It matches the Rfam family "Bacterial small subunit ribosomal RNA", at positions 9 to 426 of the family's 1533-position model. The record is from RNAcentral.